RNAcentral lists this small RNA (289 nucleotides) under Mus spretus (western wild mouse). RNAcentral describes it as "sRNA (ENSMSPG00010014433.1)". The stretch from base 1 to 201 matches the Rfam family "7SK RNA". Rfam says of the family: 7SK was discovered as an abundant small nuclear RNA in the mid-70s but a possible function has only recently been suggested. Two independent studies have found that 7SK RNA binds the CDK9/cyclin T complex (known as elongation factor P-TEFb). P-TEFb activates transcription by phosphorylating the C-terminal domain of RNA polymerase II. Lineage: Eukaryota; Metazoa; Chordata; Mammalia; Rodentia; Muridae. The record is from RNAcentral.
AGAUGUGACGGCUCUCUGGCUGCGACAUCUGUCACACCAUUGCAAACACCAGGGUUAAUUCAUCUGAUCUGGCUGGUUAGGUGGGGGUCCCCUUCCUCCUUCAUUUCUUAAUCUGUGCCCCCCCCACAAGCUGUUCACUCUGUCCAAGAGAACGACAGUCCUGGAUAAAGGAGGAUUGUUCUUGGGCCCAGGGUAUGGAUGCGGUGGAACCUCAAAAAACAAAACAAAACAAAAACAAAAACAAAAACAAAAAACCGAGCUCUCCAAUGACAAAAUGUGACUAAUAUUU